GAUUAACGCUGGCGGCGUGCAUAACACAUGCAAGUCGAACGAUGAAACUUAAAUUAUUUCUUCGGAAUGAACUUAAGUGGAUUAGUGGCGGACGGGUGAGUAACGCGUGAGUAACCUGCCUUCCACAAGGGGAUAGCCGUUGGAAACGACGAAUAAUACCCUAUGAAACUAUCACUUCGCAUGAAGCGAUAGUCAAAGUGUUAGCGGUGUAAGAUGGACUUGCGUCUGAUUAGCUAGUUGGUGAGAAAAAAGCCCACCAAGGCAACGAUCAGUAGCCGGCUUGAGAGAGUGUACGGCCACAUUGCGACAGGGACACGUGCCAGACUCCGGCGGGAGGCAGCAGUGGGGAAUUUGGCACAAUGGGGGAAACCCUGAGGCAGCGAGGCCGCGAGAUUUAGAAGGCCUUCGGGUUGUGAAAAUCUUUUGUAUAGGAAGAAAAUGACAGUACUAUACGAAUAAGGUCCGGCUAAUUACGUG
Molecule: ribosomal RNA, 477 nt
Filed under: uncultured bacterium
Lineage: Bacteria
Description: partial 16S ribosomal RNA
Rfam family: Bacterial small subunit ribosomal RNA
Source: RNAcentral